Molecule: ribosomal RNA, 735 nt
Filed under: uncultured bacterium
Lineage: Bacteria
Description: bacterial SSU rRNA
Rfam family: Bacterial small subunit ribosomal RNA
Source: RNAcentral
AACAGGAUUAGAUACCCUGGUAGUCCACGCUGUAAACGGUGGGUACUAGGUGUGGGGUCCAUUCCACGGGUUCCGUGCCGUAGCUAACGCUUUAAGUACCCCGCCUGGGGAGUACGGCCGCAAGGCUAAAACUCAAAGGAAUUGACGGGGCCCCGCACAAGCGGCGGAGCAUGCGGAUUAAUUCGAUGCAACGCGUAGAACCUUACCUGGGUUUGACAUGGAUCGGGAGUGCUCAGAGAUGGGUGUGCCUCUUUUGGGGUCGGUUCACAGGUGGUGCAUGGCUGUCGUCAGCUCGUGUCGUGAGAUGUUGGGUUAAGUCCCGCAACGAGCGCAACCCUUGUUCACUGUUGCCAGCACGUUAUGGUGGGGACUCAGUGGAGACCGCCGGGGUCAACUCGGAGGAAGGUGGGGAUGACGUCAAGUCAUCAUGCCCCUUAUGUCCAGGGCUUCACGCAUGCUACAAUGGCUGGUACAGAGAGUGGCGAGCCUGUGAGGGUGAGCGAAUCUCGGAAAGCCGGUCUCAGUUCGGAUUGGGGUCUGCAACUCGACCUCAUGAAGUCGGAGUCGCUAGUAAUCGCAGAUCAGCAACGCUGCGGUGAAUACGUUCCCGGGGCUUGUACACACCGCCCGUCAAGUCAUGAAAGUUGGUAACACCCGAAGCCGGUGGCCUAACCGUUGUGGGCGAGCCGUCGAAGGUGGGACUGGUGAUUAGGACUAAGUCGUAACAAGGUAACC